This 613-nucleotide ribosomal RNA is filed under the name Scheffersomyces tanahashii. RNAcentral's name for it is "partial large subunit ribosomal RNA". It matches the Rfam family "Eukaryotic large subunit ribosomal RNA", at positions 37 to 668 of the family's 3401-position model. Lineage: Eukaryota; Fungi; Ascomycota; Pichiomycetes; Serinales; Debaryomycetaceae. The record is from RNAcentral.
UGCAUAUCAAAAAGCUGAGGAAAAGAAACCAACAGGGAUUGCCUUAGUAACGGCGAGUGAGCGGCAAAAGCUCAAAUUUGAAAUCUGGCACCUUCGGUGUCCGAGUUGUAAUUUGAAGAAGGUAACUUUGGAGUUAGCUCUUGUCUAUGUUCCUUGGAACAGGACGUCACAGAGGGUGAGAAUCCCGUGCGAUGAGAUGUCUAACUCUAUGUAAAGUGCUUUCGAAGAGUCGAGUUGUUUGGGAAUGCAGCUCUAAGUGGGUGGUAAAUUCCAUCUAAAGCUAAAUAUUGGCGAGAGACCGAUAGCGAACAAGUACAGUGAUGGAAAGAUGAAAAGAACUUUGAAAAGAGAGUGAAAAAGUACGUGAAAUUGUUGAAAGGGAAGGGUUUGAGAUCAGACUUGGUAUUUUGUAUGUCUUGCUUUCGGGUGGGGCCUCUGCAGUUUACUGGGCCAGCAUCGGUUUGGAUGGUAGGAUAAUGACAUUGGAAUGUGGCACUACUUCGGUGGUGUGUUAUAGACUUUGUUGAUACUGCCUGUCUAGACCGAGGACUGCGUCUUUGACUAGGAUGCUGGCAUAAUGAUCCUAAACCGCCCGUCUUGAACCACGAGACCA